Molecule: ribosomal RNA, 253 nt
Filed under: uncultured bacterium
Lineage: Bacteria
Description: partial 16S ribosomal RNA
Rfam family: Bacterial small subunit ribosomal RNA
Source: RNAcentral
UACAGAGGGUGCGAGCGUUAAUCGGAAUUACUGGGCGUAAAGCGUGCGUAGACGGCUAUCUAAGUCGGGUGUGAAAUCCCUCGGCUCAACCGGGGAACGACGCAUGAAACUGACAAGCUAGAGUACCAAAGAGGGGGGUGGAAUUCCCGGUGUAGCGGUGAAAUGCGUAGAUAUCGGGAGGAACAUCAGUGGCGAAGGCGGCUGCCUGGCCCAAUACUGACACUCAGGUGCGACAGCGUGGGGAGCAAACAGG